Molecule: ribosomal RNA, 415 nt
Filed under: uncultured bacterium
Lineage: Bacteria
Description: bacterial SSU rRNA
Rfam family: Bacterial small subunit ribosomal RNA
Source: RNAcentral
UGGGGAAUAUUGCACAAUGGGGGAAACCCUGAUGCAGCGACGCCGCGUGAAGGAAGAAGUAUCUCGGUAUGUAAACUUCUAUCAGCAGGGAAGAAAAUGACGGUACCUGACUAAGAAGCCCCGGCUAACUACGUGCCAGCAGCCGCGGUAAUACGUAGGGGGCAAGCGUUAUCCGGAUUUACUGGGUGUAAAGGGAGCGUAGACGGUGUUGCAAGUCUGAUGUGAAAGGCGGGGGCUCAACCCCUGGACUGCAUUGGAAACUGUGAUACUCGAGUGCCGGAGAGGUAAGCGGAAUUCCUAGUGUAGCGGUGAAAUGCGUAGAUAUUAGGAGGAACACCAGUGGCGAAGGCGGCUUACUGGACGGUAACUGACGUUGAGGCUCGAAAGCGUGGGGAGCAAACAGGAUUAGAUACCC